This 73-nucleotide transfer RNA is filed under the name Stegodyphus mimosarum. It matches the Rfam family "tRNA". From Rfam's summary of the family: Transfer RNA (tRNA) molecules are approximately 80 nucleotides in length. Their secondary structure includes four short double-helical elements and three loops (D, anti-codon, and T loops). Further hydrogen bonds mediate the characteristic L-shaped molecular structure. tRNAs have two regions of fundamental functional importance: the anti-codon, which is responsible for specific mRNA codon recognition, and the 3' end, to which the tRNAs corresponding amino acid is attached (by aminoacyl-tRNA synthetases). tRNAs cope with the degeneracy of the genetic code in two manners: having more than one tRNA (with a specific anti-codon) for a particular amino acid; and 'wobble' base-pairing, i.e. permitting non-standard base-pairing at the 3rd anti-codon position. The record is from Rfam by way of RNAcentral. Lineage: Eukaryota; Metazoa; Arthropoda; Arachnida; Araneae; Eresidae.
GCCGUCGUUGUGUAGCGGUCAGCACACUCGGCGCGCAUUCGAGAGGUCCGUGGUUCGAAUCCCGUUGAAGGCA